This 253-nucleotide ribosomal RNA is filed under the name uncultured bacterium. Its description in RNAcentral is "partial 16S ribosomal RNA". It matches the Rfam family "Bacterial small subunit ribosomal RNA", at positions 524 to 776 of the family's 1533-position model. The record is from RNAcentral.
UACGGAGGGUGCAAGCGUUAUCCGGAAUCACUGGGCGUAAAGGGCGCGUAGGCGGUUUGUUAAGUCCGAUGUUAAAUCCCGAGGCUCAACCUCGGAUCAGCGUUGGAUACUGGCAGGCUCGACGGUUGGAGAGGCGAGUGGAAUUACCAGUGUAGCGGUGGAAUGCGUAGAUACUGGUAGGAACACCCAUUGCGAAGGCAGCUCGCUGGACAACACGUGACGCUGAGGCGCGAAAGUGUGGGGAGCAAACCGG